Molecule: unclassified non-coding RNA, 226 nt
Filed under: Hevea brasiliensis (rubber tree)
Lineage: Eukaryota; Viridiplantae; Streptophyta; Magnoliopsida; Malpighiales; Euphorbiaceae
Source: RNAcentral
AUCACACAACUCGAAGCAUAAUUGUUAGAAUUUUUAUUGAUCAAACUUUUUUUUACAACAUUAUAAACAUGGAUAUUUAUAUACUCAAAAAGUAAUCCUUAACCUAAGGAUUUGAACCACCAGAAGUAAACCCUAACCUUUAAGUAAUCCUAAAGAAGUAAUCCUUGACCAACAAGGAAUCUAGAUAAAGACUCGUACACAAAUUUAGAUCUUUCCAGUAAAUUUA